Homo sapiens (human) is the source of this 1407-nucleotide long non-coding RNA. Ensembl annotates it as GUSB pseudogene 5. Its record names the gene GUSBP5. Lineage: Eukaryota; Metazoa; Chordata; Mammalia; Primates; Hominidae. The record is from Ensembl.
UAAUAUUAUGCAUGUUUAGGCUAUGCUUUUUCUUUAAAUAUGUGAGCAAAUCUAUUGGUGUAAUGUACUCAUUACCCUAAAACCUAUAUUAUAAUGGACCUGAAGACCAUAAGGUAGAAGAUCAGAAGAAAAAGAAAAUGCAUACAUUUUUAUCUUUAAAACAAUUCACUUUUAAGAGUAUUUUCUUGAAAGGUAUACCUUUGAUGGAGCUGAAUCUAGUUGCUUCAGGCAGAUACAAUAGGAUACAAUAGGAUAGGACUUCUUGGGUAAAAAAGGUGUAGUAAUCUGUGAGACUCACCGGAAGGAGAAAGGCAAUUAUGCAUUAAUUUGGCUGAGGCCAGGGUAGUAAGCAGAUUCAUUAUAAAUUCUGACAGCAGAGGAAUACUUGAGAAAUGCUUAUAGUUAGAUCAUCUAUUUUUCCAAGCAAUAUUCUUCAUGUCAUUCCACCUUGCAAAAACUUUGUGGAAUAGAAUAGGCAUAUGAAGAGCAAUGAAUAGACUUUGCAUUAGAUUGGUAAUCUUGCUACUAGUACAUUAAUUUACUUGUAUUACUGAUAUUUUAAGAUAGGAUUUUUACAGAUGUUUAUAUAUUUUUUAAAAGCCUAUUUUUUUCUUUACCCACUUUCUCAAUUUUUUUAACCUCGAAAACUUUUUCCUCCCUAAGAGAAAUACAUGGGCUAUCUUCAGCACAGAACACAAACUCUGCCUUCUUUUCUCAAGUCCAGUGAUUCAAGUUUGACACACCACACCACGGUGGAUGUGCCUUGUCAUGACACAUCUUCUCAGCAGCACUAGAAGAUACAUCCAAAGUCCUGUGAGCAAGGACACAGCGAGAAGAUGGCUGUCUACAAGCCAGGAAGAGAGUCCUCACCAGAACCAAACCCUGCUGGACUUUGAUCUUGGACUUCCCAGCCUCUAAAACUGUGAAGACAUAAAUUUCUGUUGUUAAACCCACACAGGUCUGUGGUAUCUGUUUAUUAUGGCAGCCCAGUAAGACUAAGACAGGCCAUCACAAGACAUGAAUGUUUUGGACCUUCUCUUGGGCCCUAGUAAACAGAAAUCAGGCUAUUAAACUAAUCCACGUUCUAAACUGUUAUUGCUACUGGAAAAUGGUCCCGAUCCAGACCCCAAAAGAGGAUUCUUGGAUCUUGCACAAGAAAGAAAGGGCUCCAUGAGCAGAAGAUCAGAGGAGCAGAAGAGUGGUGCAGCAGAGAAGGAGAGAAGAGAAGGAAUGUCUAAAUGUCAAGAGGAGUUCAGCUGGGGACAGUUGGAGAGGAGAUAGGCCAUGGAAGAGCCAAACUCUAGGGGAAGAUCAUCUUUCCACUCCAUCCCCUUUCCAGCUCUCCAUCCAUCCCACUGACAGCCACCUCCACCACUCAAUAAAAGUCCCAUAUUCACCAUCCUUCAA